RNAcentral lists this long non-coding RNA (14737 nucleotides) under Medicago truncatula (barrel medic). RNAcentral's name for it is "long non-coding RNA (MTRU_LNC008255)". Lineage: Eukaryota; Viridiplantae; Streptophyta; Magnoliopsida; Fabales; Fabaceae. The record is from RNAcentral.
AUUCUGCACCACAACAUCUCAAUCUGAAUCAGUCACACAUCCAUUCGCUGCAUCUUAUCUCAUCAACAAUUUUGGGUUCUCACAUGAAUCUGCUCUCAAAGCUUUCAACCUCAAGCAAGUUCGUUUCAAUACCGCAGAUAAACCUGAUUCAGUCAUCACCUUCUUUCAAAAUCAUGGCUUUUCACACGACAACAUACGCAUCAUGAUCAGAAGAGCACCAUGGUUACUUUCAUCACAACCCCACAAAAGGUUUUUGCCAAAGUUUCAAUUUUUUCUAUCCAAUGCUGCUUCUUCCUCUGAUAUUGUUCCAUUGUUAACUACAAACCCUAGAAUUUUACGAAGUAGCCUGGACUUGGAGAAACAAAUAAUCCCUCUUUUUGAAUUAUUAAGUAGGUUCUUGAAAACCAACAAGGAUAUCAUUCUUUGCUUAAUUCGAUAUUGGACUGCAUUUGCUACUAAUCCCUAUCACCUUAUUGUGUCUAAUAUCAAUUUGAUGUCUGAUUUUGGAGUUUCUGAUAAUGUUAUUGGUAGUUUGCUUCAGUCAAGGCCGUCUAUAUUUGGUUCAAAGGAUUUGAUUAAGUCAUUGGAGGAAGUUAAGGAUUUAGGGUUUCAUCCUUCAAUGACUAAUUUUGGGACUGCUUUGAUGGCCAAGAAAUGUAUGAGUAAAAAACUUUGGGAUGAGAAAAUUGAUACCUUUAAGAAAUGGGGUUGGUCUGAUGAGGCUAUUAUUCGAGCAUUUAGAUGUCGGCCUGAAUUGUUGUUGGCUUCAAUUGAUAAGAUUAAUUUGGUGAUGAGUUUCUGGGUCAACCAAUUGGGUUGGAAUUCCUUGGCACUUACUAAAAGGCCACAUAUUUUUAGUUACAGUUUGGAUAAAAGGAUCACUCCAAGGGCCUCAGUUUUGCAAUUUCUUUUAAUGAAAGGUUUGCAAAAAAAGAAUGCUAGCUUAGUUACACCUUUGAGUUAUUCUGAAAAUUUGUUUUUGCAGAAGUUUGUUUUCAGCUUUAAGGUGGACUCCGAUUAUCUAUUAAAGUUAUACGAGGAAACAAUGAAAAUUGCAUACCCAAUGGAAAACAAUGGCAUGCCAUUCACUAAUUAGGUAAUUUCAUAAUCUCUUUUGCAAUGUAGCCUCAGCUUGUUAGUCAUAAAAUGCUAGUGCUUAUUCUUUUUAGGCCAAGAUAGAGGAUGAUCUAGCUGACUUGUUUUAUUUGCUAACCUGGACCAGAGUACCUUAUGAUUUAUCAUAUGCCUCAUAUCUAGUUGAUAAAGAAAAACACGAAUGGUCUUGUAUUUAUUUAGUCAGGGAAUGUUUACUCAUGGUGUUAUUUUCCUUCCAUGUUUGUUCAAUCAUGAAUCCAUAGAAAUAUAAACAAAUUAUGUAUGCAAUUCUGCUCAAUUAAAUGAUCGAAACUUUAAGCUUGAGAUUAUUCAGUACUUUGCCUAUUUGCUUUUUAUGUGGUUCUCUACACAUCAUCUUUAUAAGGAUUUUUCUAUUAUCACUCAUACAACUUUAUUAAAUAGUUUGCGACCUUCUUUAAGCUUGAAGUUGUUUCCUGAAAUGUUUAGAGAACAUUUUGAGCAUGAGGCUUCUUAUCUUUUAAAGUUGUAUGAGAAAAAACACAAUCAUGUAUACACCACGGACUAAACAUGCAUGUCAUGAUUAUAUUUUCAGGUAUUUUAGCCUUUAUAUGUUGCUGUUGUCCCUGAUUCGAAUUGAAUUCAUGUUUAGUAGUUAGUACAAAAUAUGUAGGAGCUAGAUUAACCAACUUUAUUUUGUUUUCUUAUUUGGACAAAUGUUUGAGGGGUAACCUUGGCGCAACUGGUAAAGUUGUUGUCAUGUGACUGAAAGGUCACGGGUUCAAGUCCUGGAAACAGCCUCUUGUAUAAAAAACAGGGUAAGGCUACGUACAAUACACCAAUAAUGGUGGGACCCCUUCCCGGACCCUGCGUAUGCGGGAGCUUUAGUGCACCGGGUUGCCCUUUAUUUGGACAAAUGUUUGUUUGUUGUCAUUGAUAUUUUUCAAAAUUGGGUUGUGUAUUGAUUCAUGCUCCCAACCCCACUUAGUGGGAUAAUGCUUGGUUGUUGUUGUUGUUGUGUUGUAUAUCAGUCUUCAUAAUACCAUAUAAUAUUGCUACAGGUAAAAGUUGAAAUUUUCUUGUAUUUGUAGGCAUGAAACUCUGUGUAAUGAAAGUGUAAUUAGGGUUGUGGUGCAAUUGUUAAGACUUCUCAAACUUCAAUAUUGAAUGUACAAUUGUUGUUGUUGAUUACAUUUAUUUAAUACACUUGGCAGUUAGCUUUAUGCCAAAGUUAGGUCAGGUCAUACAUAAAACUUUAUUUUGUCACAUUUUGGUUUUAUUUGCACCUUUUGGCCAACUAUUAUGGAUUAAAAUACAUUGGCAUUUUGUCAAUGUUCUGUAUUUUAUGUGAGUACAUUAUGUGUUUGACACCACACAUGCUUGAGCACCUUGUUUCUCUGGCAAAAUUUUGUAAUAUCCUUCCUAAAACCUUUACAUGAUUUGUUGAAAAUUGCAACAGUUUCAGUUUUUGCAUCUUCACACAAUCUAAUUUUGUCUUGGAUGCUUCUAGUCUUCAAUUGUUAGAGCUAAAAUGAUAACAUGUUCUUGCUGUUGAUUUAAAUUUCUUACAUUUUAUUAAUUUCUUAUUUUUUUUUAAGAGACAUCUUCAGUUGUUUUAUAUGUGCUCGGUUAUUGUAAAUGAGCUAUCCCUCUUUGCCCUCUAACUAAGCAACUUCUAUAUUAUUCUUAUCUUGUUUAUAGUUUGUGUUAGACUGUUAGUCAUGCCCUAUGCCCUCUUUUGUUGUCUUACUAAUCUUAAAAUCUAUGAUUCAUUUGUUUUUUACGACUGAAAUUCUUAGUCGAGUUUAUAAACUUGUUCUCACUUAUAUUUCAAGCUAUAAUCUUUAUCCACGGCCGUUGCAGUCGCCAUUGCUGAUUUUUUGAUCUAUUUGUAGGUACUAUGGUUGUAACAAUCAAUGUUACCUAUUGCUUUGCUACAUUGUUAUCAGUUUUCAACUACCACUUUUCCUCUAUAAUCAAGCAGCAGCUUUGCAGAAAUUAGUGUCAAGUUGUUGUAUGGCAGAGACGAGUAUCAAACGUCCGUGAUUAUAAUUUGAUGACCAUUCUUGAUUCUAAAAUCUAGCUAGGUAUUGAUUCUUUCAGCAACCAUUUUUUGCAUUGGAGCCAACUGAUAUGUUAAUUUAGAAAAUAGUUUUCACAGAAUGCUAAUAUGCCGCAUUUCCAUACACUGAAAUUUGUUGUAACUCGUAGAAAAGCGGUCACAGAUCCAACAUAAAUACUUCUUCAGUGAACCUUUAAAAUCACGGCACAAAGCCAUAUGAACGUGUGUUUUCUUAUACCACCGCCAAACUAAACAAUGACCAAGUGUAUGUUUGAUUUUGCGGUAAGAAAAAUUGAGUUUGAGUGAAUUGAUUCUUACUAAAUGUGUGUUUGGUUAUGCGGUGAAGAAAAUUGAUUUUGGUUGAAUUUAAAAGUGAGUUGAAUGAAAAGUGAUUUGUGUUUGGAUACCUUUACAAUAAAAGUGAUUUGUAUUGUUUGGGUAUUUCGUGUCAAAAUUGUUUUUGGUUGUGUAAAUGACCAAAAUAGAUUUCUCAUAUGUGUGCAUUUAAAAAAUAUUUCAUUUAUUUUAUUUGUUACAAAUUUCAUUUACAUCUUUAGUUAGUUAUUUAAUUUUAUGUUUCAUCAUUAAAUUUAUUACAAUUGUGUAAAUAUUAUUAAAAAAAACUUUAUACGAAAUUUUUUUUAUCAAAAGAACUAUCCGAGUAAUUGACUAUUAAGAUUCAUAUUAUUAUUUUAUAAAAUUUAAAAUUAUUGGGUUUUAAGGAAGGCUUUCAGAUGGGCCUCAGUGGAACAAGAAAGCACCGUUUCUUCCCAAUAACAGUGUCUUUCCUCUUCUUCAACCUUUGUCCUUGAAAUUUCUGCAACACAAAAAUAGUACCUUCACAACAACAACAAAAAAUCAUGCAUACCAGCACAAUGAGAUGGAGUAGCGGGUUUCUCAAGGGAUUUGUCAAAUUUAAAAAAGUAUAUAAAAGAAACUGAUGAGAUUUGCGAGCAAAAGAGACAAUGGGAUGAUAUGUACUUCUGCGGUGGAAAGAAUCAAUUUCAAGAAGUUAGAGAGAGCAGCUUCUUUAAAAAUAGAUUAUGAAGAGGAAAAUGUGCGACGACGGUGAAGUGUUGGUGGAGAACCAAACAAGUCGGAAUCGCGUUUGAUGGGUAGGACGUGCGUUUAACCGUUCACACCGUGUAACCAAACAGGGACUAAAAUUGAGUUGAAAAUAAAAUGAUUUAUGUUUAGAUACAUUCAUAAAUAGGGAACUUCUACGGUACACCCGCAAAUUACGGUGUAUCGAUACUCUCGCUUACAAUUUUUAUAAUUUAACUAUCAUUUUUUAUGAAGAAAAUAGGUGUUUGUUAACAUAUAUAUUUUAGAAAAUAUCAUUUUAUAAGAUAAAACAUCAUUUCAUUUUUUUUAUAAAAAUCAUACUAAAUUUUUUUUACAUUGGAAAAAAUAAUCAAAAUUCUCUAUUAUGAAUAAUAAGAAUUCAGAAAAAUCAAAUUUUAUUGCGUUGACAUUUUUGGUAAAUAAGAUUUAGUUAUUAUAAUUAUAGGUGAUAGAAAAUAAUUUUUUCCUACAAAAAAUAACUCAUUUAACUAUUAAUUUAAGGAUUUGGUGUACCAAUACAUUUAAAUUGUUGGGUGUACCAUAGAAUUUGCCUCAUAAAUAUGUGAGUUGAACAAUAAAUAUGAACCUAGAUGCGUUAAAAAAAUUGGAUUUUUUUUUUUAUGUCCAACACGCAUCAUAAAGAGACUCUCCAUCUUUUUGAUUUCGUCCUCAUUAAAAAAAUUGGAUUUUUUUUAUGUCUAAUAUGCUAUUGGUUAAAAUUCAUGAAUAAGUGUGGGUUCGAAGCUAGACCCCUAGUAAUAAUAAUACAAGAGGAAAACAAAAAAAAAAACACGUGAAAACAUUUUAAGCCUAUAUUUAUUUUUUGUGUGAAAGAUAAGCUUAUAUUCUAUUGUGUGUUGAGAACCUUACGGAUUAGAACACUUAUGUCUCAUCUCAUUCUCACUACAUUCCGAACCAUGUUGAAGAAAUGGUUUCUUUCCAACAAUGCUGUUUUAUGUUUCAUCACAACAAAAUCAACAACCCCAAAAUUCAACAACCCUCUUUUGCACCAAUUCCCAAUUUCACCCAGACGUUUCUGCACCAUAACAGCCACUUCAGAAUCAAACACACAUCCAUUCUCUGUAUCAUACCUCAUCAACAAUUUUGGAUUCUCACAUGAAUCUGCUCUCAAAGCUUUCAACAACAAGCAGGUUCGUUUCAAUACCCCAGAUAAUGCUGAUUCUGUUAUCACCUUCUUUCAAAACCAUGGUUUUCCAAACUCCAACAUACGCAUCAUCAUCCAAAAGGCACCUUGGUUACUUUCAUCACAACCCCACAAAAGGUUAUUGCCAAAGUUUCAAUUUUUUCUAUCCAAUGGUGCUUCUUUAUCUGAUAUUGUUCCAUUGUUAACUACAAACCCUCGAAUUUUACGAAGUAGCUUGGAGAAACAAAUAAUCCCUCUUUUUCAAUUAUUAAGUAGGUGCUUAAAAACCAACAGGGAUGCCAUUAUUUGCUUAAUAAAACAUUGGACUACAUUUACUAUUUAUUAUCACCUUAUUGUGGCUAAUAUCAAUUUGAUGACUGAUUUUGGAAUUCCUCAUUCUGUCAUUGCUAGAUUGAUUCGAUCUAGACCAUUUUUAAUUUGUUCAAAGGAUUUGAUUAAUUCAUUGGAGGAAAUUAAGGGUUUAGGGUUUGAUCCUUCAACGACUACUUUUGGGUAUGCUUUGUUAGCCAAUAACUGUACGAGUAAAAAACUUUGGGAUGAGAAAGUUGAUGUCUUGAAGAAAUGGGGUUGGUCUGAUGAAGAUGUUAUCCGGGCAUUUAGGUGUCAUCCUGAUAUGAUGUUGACUUCAAUUGAAAAGAUUAAUUUGGUGAUGAGUUUUUGGGUCAAUCAAUUGGGUUGGGAUUCAUUGGCACUUACCAAACGGCCACAUAUUUUAACUCAUAGUUUGGAGAAAUGGAUUGUUCCAAGGGGAUUGGUUGUGCAAUUUCUUUUGAUGAAAGGCUUGCGAAAAAAGAAUGCCAGCUUAGUUACACCAUUUAGAUAUUCUGAAAAAUUGUUUUUGGAGAAGUUUGUUUUCAGCUUUAAGGAGGAGUCUGAUUAUCUAUUAAAGAUAUAUGAGGAAAAAAUAAAACUUGCAUAUACAAUGGAAAACAAUGGCAUGCCAUUCCCUAAUUAGGUAAUUUCAUAAUCUUCUUUUGCAAUGUAGCUUUAUCUUGUUAGUAUUAAAAUAUAAGUGCUUAUUCUUUCUAGCCCAAGAUAGAGGAUGAUCUAGCUGUCUUGAUUUAUUUGCUAACCUGGACCAGAGUGCCAUAGCCGGUCACAAUAAUACCUUAUGAUUUAUCCUAUAUGCCUCAUAUCUAGUAGAUAAAGAAAAUCUCGAAUGGUCUUGUAUUUAUUUGGUCAGGAAAUGUUUACUUGUGGUGUUUGUUUUCCUUCCAUGUUUGUUCGGUCAAGAAUCCUUAGAAGUACAAACAAACUAUGUAUGCAAUUCUGCUCAAUUUAAUGAUUGAAACUUUAAGCUUGAGAUUAUUCAGUACUUUGCCUAUUUGCUUUUCUUGUGGCUCUCUAUACAUUAUCUUUUUAAGGAUUUUUCUAUUAUUACUCAUACAACUUUAUGAAACUCGUUGUGUAAUGUGGAAAAAUGCAAAUAAUUUGGGGAAAAUGAAAGUGUAAUUAUGGUUGGGGUGCAAUUGUAAAGAUUUCUCAAACUUCAAUAUUGAAGCUACAGUUAUUAUUGUGGAUUACAUUUAUUUAAUACACUUGCAGUUAGCUUUAUGCAAACAAUAAAUAAAUGUUCUGUAUUUUAUUUUGUCACAUUUUGGUUUUAUUUGUACCUUUUGGCCAACUGUUAUGGAUUAAAAUGCAUUGACAUUUUGUCAGUGUUCUGUAUUUUAUGAGUACAUUAUGUGUUUAACGCCACACAGGCUUGAACACCUUGUUCCUUGGUGUAUUUUGUGGUGAUAUUUUACUCAACUACUUUCGGAUAUUGUCUCUUGUCAUAGACACUUAUAGCCUGGUAGAGUAAUUUCUUGAUAAUGUUAAUUGGAACUUAAUAUUUUGGCGUGUUACUAAUUUUUGGCCUUCAUUUAGUACUACUAAGUAAACCAAUAGCUUACCUCCUAUUUUGUUUACCACUCUCAAAAGGAAUGAUUUGUUUUUUUAUACAAUCACACCUGUAAGGAAGCAGCUUUUGUUCAAUUGGCAAGGAUAUGAUGAAACAAAACUUUGUUGUGUCUGUUUGCUAUGUAUGAAAUGGCUUCUUGAUCAUAAUGCAUUAAUCAGUGCUUUUUUUUCGCUGGCAACGUUCUGUAGUAUCCUUCCUGAAUCCUUUAUAUGAUUUGUUGAAAUUGUAAACUUAGUUUCAAUUUUUGCAUCUUCACACAAUCUCACUUUGUCUUGGAUGCUUCUAGUCUUCAAUUGUUAGAACUAAAAUGAUAACAUGUUCUUGCUGUUGAUUUGGAUUUCUUACAUUUUAUUAAGUUCUUUUUUCUUAAAGGGACAUCAUUUUAUCUUCAGUUGUUCUAUAUUGAUCUUAUCUAGUUUAUAUUCUGUGGUAGACUGUUAGUCAUGCCUCAUGCCCUCUUUUGUUGUCUUGCUAAUAUUAAAACCUAUUCAUUUAUUUUUUAUGUCUGAAAUUCUUAGUCGAGUUUAUAAACUAGUUCUCAUUUAUAUUUCAAGCUAUAAUUUUUAUCCAUCUGUUGCAGUCACCAUUGCUGAUUUUUAAUCUAUUUGCAGGUACUAUGAUGUAGCAGUCAAUGUUACCAAUUGCUUUGCUACAUUGUUAUGAGUUUUCAACUGCCACUUUUCCUUUAUAAUCAGGCAGAGACGAGUAUCAAAUGUCCGUGAUUAUAAUUUGAUGACCAUUCUUGAUUUUGAAAUCUGCUCAGUGAUUCUUUCAUCAACCAUUAUUGCAUUGGAGCCAACUAAUAUGUUAAUUUUGGAAAUAUUUUUCAUUUUUUCACAGAAGCUUGUAGUGUUAGCUUUACUCUGGCUGUAUGCUUGAAUUGAAUGCUAAUGUACUGCAGUUUCAAAUACACUGAAAUUUGUUGUAACUAAUAGAAAAGUGGUCACAAAUCCAACAUAAAUACUUUUCCAGUGGACCUUUUUUUCUUUCUACAUACUCAUAGACAAUAAUCAUUGUGAAUUUUCUUUGCAAAAACCAACUAGUGAAUCAAGAUGGUGAUGGCAAAUUUUGGACAUUCUAAAAGGACCUGUGUGGUUCCAGAGACACUUAUCAUGAUAGUAACCUUCACCUUGAUUCAAAACCAUUACUCACCAGACUCGAUAUUAGACUUUACCAAAAUUGUUUUUUGCUGAUUGUAUUUCAGCAAAAGGGGUUAAGAAACCAAAAUAUCCAUGAGGGGAACUCCCUCCAAACACACCUAAAGGUAUCCAUCCAACACUUUUUCACUAUCCUUUGUUCCUUCUUCCUUGUUAGAAGACGAACACUUGGUUCAUUCUUUUGUUAAUUCUCUCUAGAGUAUUCUGAUUUUGUUUUUAAUUUCUCAAUUUUAUAGGAGGCCAAGGUUCACGAUUAACUUAAACGGCUUACAUUAUAUCGUAAGGGUAAACUACACAAGAGUGUGUUUGGAUGGGGGAAUGUUUUGAGGGAAUGUAAUGUUUUGAGGUAAUUCAACUACUUUGAGGUGAAUUCAAACAAUAGAAUUCACCUUAAAGUAGUUGAAUUCCCUCAAAACAUUCCCCCAUCCAAACACACUCUAAGGGGUCCUCUAAAAAAAAUAUGGUAUAUCCUAAAGGUAAACUAUAUCCUAAGGGAGUUAAUUUAUUUAUAAUAAUUAUAAUUCAUUUCAUUCCGUCAACUUUUCAAACAAUAGGAAGAUUCUAUCAUAGAAUACCUAAACCCAAACAAUGAAAUGAGUUCUAUACUUCAUUCCACUCCAUUUUGCUCGAUUCCACUAUAUUCAAUCCUGAUCGGUUGGUUAUCUUCCAACAAUCCAAAUAAAUUUUGGAUCAAAACUAAAGAAAAAGAUCAGUACUUUAAAACACACACGACACUCGCUGAUCAUCUCAUUGACACAACAUUUUGUUUUUGUAAAAACAGAACCCUAACAUUUGAGUAAAUUUUCAAUCCAUGUUGAAGAAACUGUUUCUCCGCCACAAAUGUAGUAGUUUUAGGUCUCAUCACUGUUACCCUCAGCACUUGUUGUUCCCAAUUUCACAAAUUGAUUCUGGUUAUUUAUUAAAUCUUUAUGAGGAAAACGUAAAUCUUGCAUCCACCAAGGAGAACAUUGACAUGCCAUUCACCAAAUAGGUGACUUCAUAAUCUUGUUUUUGUAAUGUAACAUUAGCUUGUUAGUUCUUAAAUUCUAAUUGGCUAUUCUUUCUAGGCCAGGAUAGGGGAUGGUCUAGCUGAAUUGUUAUAACAAUGCAUUAUGAUUUAUCUUAUGCCUUAUAUCUAGAAAAUAUAAAAAUGCUCACAUGGUUGUAUAUCUCAUUCUAUGUUUGUUCAAUCAAGAAUCCAUAGUAGUAAAAACAAACUAUGUAGCCAGCCCACUCAAUUUAAUGAUUGAAACUUUAAGCUUGAGAUUAUGAAGUGCUUUUGCUUAGCUGAUUUUCCUUUGGUUCCCUACACAUUAUCUUUUUAAGCUGAAAUUUUAAGGAUUUUUCUAUUACCCAUACCAUGUUAUUCAACAGUUUUGCAACCUUCUUGAAUUUUGACCAGACAUGAAUCGCCGAGUUCUUUCAUUUUAUAUUUUGGAGAAUGUUUAACUACUCUUUAGAUAUUUGCAAAAAUGGGAUCUUCUCCCUUUAUGGCGAGCACAGCUGUUGUGUCAGUCAGUCUAGAGAAAAUCUGACUGUCUGCCUUUAUGUAGGAGAGGAAUACAGACCAAGGUGGCUGUUUGAUUGAUUUUGUGCAGAAAUAGCAUUUCCGUCAUAUACUUUCGUCCCCCAACCAUUAUUAGUUGAUUAAUGAUAUCAGAAGUAAUAAUUCUGGUAAUCUGUUGUGGAAAUGAAAGGGAUAUAUUUCUUGGAAUGCUUUUCCAGUUUUUAGCAUGCCUUUGUUUGAUGUCUGGUUGAAGGAUAAUGUAAGUAAGCAAAACAACAAUGUAAUAAUUAGGGCCUUGGGGUGGUCCAACCACCCCAUUGUUUAAGAAUUUGGAAGGCAUUCAAAUAUUUAUAGGUUAGAGGCGAACGAAACUGGUAAUUUGAUAUUAACAUACAUUUAACAUAACAACGAGAAUUAUAGUUAAUCAGUUGUCCAGUUACACCUUGUCUUCUAGAGGCUCUUCCUUGAAAAGUUCUAUCUGAUGGUGAGUUGGAAAUAUUGCUGAAAUAAAAGGGAAACUGGUUGUAUCUGACAGUCAUUAAAUGUUUUCUUAUAAAUGUAAGUUUUUAAGAUUUCAAUGAUAUGCAGUCACUGCAGUUGGAUUGAUAUGUUGGACGUAUCGGACGUUCGAAAUCAGAAAAAUAAAAACCCGACUUUCUUGUCCAAUUUUCUGCUAUUGUCGCGUGAAGGUUCUAUGUAGCACUGGUGUUGGAUCCUAGAUUCCGUGGUGAUGGAGAAGGGGAUUGUGGUCGAAACCCAACUGAGCAUCUCGCGACAAUGAUUCAUGACUUGGCCAUCAACAAUGAUCAUUACAGUGGUGGCCCCGGUGAUACACAACAAGGAUAUACGAUUUCCAACAUCACAAAACUCCAUCUUGGUGCCCGGACAAAAAUGAUGAACAAGAGCACACAAAAAAACUCAUUGGGAUUUGUUUAUUCAUUAAUCCAAAUGAUGGAGCCUUAGCAGAACAGCUCUAAUACAUUUGAAUAUGAUAUUGGCACCAUUAUGCAGCACCUGCUCCAUUGUAAAGACAAAAUUGCAAAAUUUAUAAGCAUCAGUUUUGCUUCACAAAUUGUUUAAUUUCUAAACACACAUUUGAAUAUGUUUAACUUCACAAUUUGUUUGAACUUCAUUAAGUCCAGAAGAUAACGUUCUCGUAGAACUCUAGAUGACCAAGAAACUAAAUAAUAACUAUUGAUUAAUAGUAGUAAGCAUAGUUGAUAGCACAGCAUGUGGGGUUUAUAGCAGCGGCAGUUUCACUGCCCGGCGACCCGGGCAUGCACACAGGCCCCGACCCAAAUUUUUUGCAAUUUCUUAUGUAAUUUCCUCUGAAUUUCUUAUAUAAAUUCCUAUAAAUUAGGCAAUUUCUUUAGAUUUUUUUAUUAUUUUCUUGCAAUUUCUUAUAUAAACACCUAUAAAUGUGUUGCAAAUUUUUUUUGUCUAGGCUUUAUAACAAUCCUGGCUCCGCCACUGGUUUAAAGCAAAGCUUGCAACGAGUUCUCUAUGUCAAUGUUUGUUGUUGGAUUGAAGUCAAGUUGAUGCCACCUUUGUAUGGUUGCGUGCAAGUAAGAGUGUUCCCCAGAAGGGUUGAACCGGCUUUGGCCAAAGCCGUGUUUUGGGUUAGGUAAAAUACUUGUAUUGUUUUUAUGGAAAAUAUGAACCAACCCAACUUUAUGAUGAAUGAGUCGGUUUGGGUUGGAUCAACGACUCACUAGAAAUAACUUAUAACAUGACAUAUUAUUGUCCCAUAUCCGAUUCUCAUAUAAAUAUACUUGUUAUCCUAUCCAUAUCCAACAUUGAUGAAAAAUUGUAUCCCACCUCGUUCCCGACGGGUUCAGAUAUCCCGUCCCCGCAUUGAAUAUUACUUUUUUAAUAAAAAAUAUAAGUUUUUUUUGCAACCCUUAGAGAAAUGUUUUUUUUUUACAGAAAUAAGUUUAUUGCAUUUCAUUGAUUAGAAUGUUAGAAAUACAAGAUGGAAUGUUAGAGUAAAUAUAAAAAUUAGGAUUAGAUGGAGCUUCCUAAGCUAAGUUGUGAGCAGCACCGUUUGCUUGUCUACAAAUGAACUUCAAGUAUGAGUUCGUUAAAUCAAUUGCUAACAUGUGUCUACAAUCAUUAAUAAUGGCCAUAUAAUUUGAGACAUUGUUGCUUCCUCCAUAAACACUAUCAACCCCUUGAGAAAUUGUUGCUUCCUCCAUAAACACUAUCAACCCCUUGAGAAAUGUUGUAAUGCAUUAUCCAGCAAUAUGCUCACUUUAACAUUUGUUAGACUGAUUGAUUUAGUUGCUCCUUUAAAUAUCGUAGUUUUUAUAACACGACAAUUAUCAAACAAAAUAACAUGACAUAUCAACAUAAAGUAAUUUUCUACGUUCGGGACGGAUUUGAGUAUGGAUUCCGAGUGGGUGCCUAUAUACCCGUUACCUGUCUCAUACCCGUGUUUUGAAAUCGGGGAAAACUCCAAUUCAUACCAAAAUUCAGUCAAAACAAGAAAAACUCGUCAAAUUGAAUAUUAAUUUAGGCGGGUAACCACGAGUAUGAGUUUUGUUGUCAUACCUGAUAAUUAUAUAUUCGAUUUGAAAAAACAAAAUGGAAUGGAAUAUAACAAAACUCAUUCCAUCUUAUUCCAUAAAAUCCUCCACGUUUUAUUCCCCCAAUUUGUGGAUUAUCCCAUCUAAUGAAAUUUUAUAAUUAAAAUAUGAGUCUGAUUAACAAGUGUCUAUGGGGCACUUUUAAGGGUUCCAAAAGAAGAAAUUAUUCCUCCCUCAAAAAAAAAAAAACAAGAAGAAAUUAUUCCAUAAAAAGUUAGACAUUGCAAUUUUCAAUGCAUUAAUUACACAAAUUAAAAAAAAGUUAGCAUUUGAAGGCUAGUGUUCCGAGGACACUCGCUAACGUUUCCUUAAAAUAUUACUCCCUCCGUUCCUUUUUAAAUGUCACUUUUGGAGAAAAAUAUUGUUUCAAUUUAACUGUCACUUUCAAAGUUCAAUGCAACAUUAAACGUUGUUUUACCAAUAUUAUCCUUAGUUAUUUAUUGUGGAGAGAGAAAUAUAUAAAAUGAGAUAUUAAAUGAAUAAGGUUAUUAUAGUAAAAGUAUGAAGUAUCGUAUCAAAAGUAGUAAUAUUUAUUGAUUGUAUUGGUUUGUAUAAAAUGUCAAAAAGUGACAAUUAAAAAGGAACGUGGUAGUACUCUAUUACCCUUAAAUUUAGGGUUAAUUAAGUUUUUGGUCCCUAUAAAUAUAUGCAGUUUUGUUUUUAGUCCCUAUAAAAAUAAAUCACAGUUUUUAGUCCCUACAAAAUUUCCUGUUAGUGUUUUUAGUCCCUGUUAAAUUAAAAUUUAUUUAAUUAUGCUUAAACUUCUAAAUUUUUGAAAGAUUUUUUACAUACAUGUUCAUAACAUCGGAAGACACUCUUUUGUAAUUUUUUUUAGUUUUUUAACAUGUAAUGAAUUAAAUAUGAAUUUUUCUAAAAACCAAAUUUUCAAGAUUAUAUUAAUGAAAAUUUGGACAUAAUAAUAAAAUUUAAGUUACUUUUUUGCGGAUGAACUUUGUAUAAUAUUCUAAGUAAGUAUGUGAAAAAUAUGUUACAAAUUUAAAAGUUUAAGCACAAUUAAGCAAAUUUUAAUUUUACAAGGGCUAAAAGUAUGUGUUGGUCCCUGUUAAAUUGAAAUUUGUUUAAUUAUACUUAAACUUUUAUAUUUUUAAAUGAUUUUUAACAGACAUGUUAAGAACAUUAUAAUAAUCUCUUUUAUAAAAAAUUAGAAUUUUUUAACAUGUAAUGAAUUAAAUAUAAUUUUUUUAAAACGCCAAAAAUUCAAGAUAAAACUAAAGAAAAUUUGGACCUAAAAAUAAAAUUUUGAGCUAAUUUAUAAUAAAAGAACAUUUUAUAAUGUUUUAAACAAGUAUGUAAAAAAUCAUUAAAAAAUUUAAAAUUUUAAGCAUAAUUAAACAAAUUUUAAUUUAACAGAGACUAAAAACAUUAACGGAAAAUUUUAUAGGAACUAAAAAGUGUAAUUUAUUUUUAUAGGGAUUAAAAACAAAACUGCAGAGAUAUUUACGGGGACCAAAAUCUUAAUUAACCUUAGAUUUAUAAUCUUACCUUUUCCUAUGCAAUUCCUUUCUUUUGAACUGCAACCUCUCCGACCAUUUGAUUCGAAACCAUCUCACAUUUCCCGACCCAUGUUGAACAAAUGGUUUCUCUCCCAGAAUGUUGUUUUAGGUCUCAACACAACAAAAACAACAACCUCAAAAUUCAACAACCCUCUUUUCAACCAACACUUCUCAUUCCAAAUUUCACUCACAAGAUUCUGCACCACAACAUCUCAAUCUGAAUCAGUCACACAUCCAUUCGCUGCAUCUUAUCUCAUCAACAAUUUUGGGUUCUCACAUGAAUCUGCUCUCAAAGCUUUCAACCUCAAGCAAGUUCGUUUCAAUACCGCAGAUAAACCUGAUUCAGUCAUCACCUUCUUUCAAAAUCAUGGCUUUUCACACGACAACAUACGCAUCAUGAUCAGAAGAGCACCAUGGUUACUUUCAUCACAACCCCACAAAAGGUUUUUGCCAAAGUUUCAAUUUUUUCUAUCCAAUGCUGCUUCUUCCUCUGAUAUUGUUCCAUUGUUAACUACAAACCCUAGAAUUUUACGAAGUAGCCUGGACUUGGAGAAACAAAUAAUCCCUCUUUUUGAAUUAUUAAGUAGGUUCUUGAAAACCAACAAGGAUAUCAUUCUUUGCUUAAUUCGAUAUUGGACUGCAUUUGCUACUAAUCCCUAUCACCUUAUUGUGUCUAAUAUCAAUUUGAUGUCUGAUUUUGGAGUU